GUGGCUCAGUGGUAGAGCACGUGCCUAGGAUGUGCGAGGCACUGGGUUCAAUUCUCAGC
Molecule: transfer RNA, 59 nt
Filed under: Ictidomys tridecemlineatus (thirteen-lined ground squirrel)
Lineage: Eukaryota; Metazoa; Chordata; Mammalia; Rodentia; Sciuridae
Description: Spermophilus tridecemlineatus (thirteen-lined ground squirrel) tRNA
Rfam family: tRNA
About the family: Transfer RNA (tRNA) molecules are approximately 80 nucleotides in length.
Source: Rfam by way of RNAcentral